UCCAUGACUGAGCAGCCCUUUUUAGGCUCCACUCUGCUCACCCUGAAAAGGGGGAGGGGCUAGAAAAGGUGCCCUAAACAUAGUCUGCCUCCCUUUUUCCCUGACUGGAUUACCGCGCCCAGUGGGGUCACCACCUAGCGGUCGUAAAAGACAAAUGAACUUUGUAACAUGGAAUAUACGGACUUUGUCAGAUAACACAGACAGCGAGCGUCCUGAAUGCAGAACUGCCAUCAUUGCAAGAGAGCUGCAACGUUUUAGCAUUGAUAUUGAAGUGCUUCAAGAGACUCGAAGAACAGGUGAGGGACAACUGAAGGAAGAAAAAGGAGGCUACACAUUCUUCUGGAAAGGUCUAUCUGAACAAGAACAUUGAAUACAUGGGGUUGGCUUCGCUAUCAAAAAUGACAUUGUGAAGCUCAUGUCAGAAGUCCCUACCAGCAUUAAUGAGUGACUCUCAACCCUUUGAAUAAAGCUCACUGCAGCUUACCUGCCAACUGUCUUGGUUUAGCUGAGUCAGUAAUAAUGGAGAUGUGAUAUUUAGAUGGG
This is a non-coding RNA of Podarcis lilfordi (Lilford's wall lizard), 543 nucleotides long. NCBI's taxonomy places the organism in Eukaryota, Metazoa, Chordata, Lepidosauria, Squamata, Lacertidae. The record is from the annotation of a GenBank genome assembly.